CUACCCGCUGAAUUUAAGCAUAUCAAUAAGCGGUGGAAAAGAAACUAACCAGGAUUCCCUUAGUAACGGCGAGUGAACAGGGAUUAGCCCAGCACCGAAGUCUGCGUCCGUUUGGGCGUUGGACAAUGUGGUGUUUAGGUUGGCAUUAUUGAACUUCGCUCCGUUUAAAGUCCAUUCUUGAAUAUGGCUAAUAGUUUGGCCCAAAGAGGGUGAAAGGCCCGUGUGGAUGGAGUGUUGUUUGAUUUUGUUAACUGAAGAGUCGGGUUGUUUGAGCCAGCCCAAAGUUGGUGGUAAACUCCAUCUAAGGCUAAAUACUGCACGAUCCGAUAGCGACUAAAUUCG
Molecule: ribosomal RNA, 342 nt
Filed under: Heteromicrocotyla polyorchis
Lineage: Eukaryota; Metazoa; Platyhelminthes; Monogenea; Mazocraeidea; Heteromicrocotylidae
Description: partial large subunit ribosomal RNA
Rfam family: Eukaryotic large subunit ribosomal RNA
Source: RNAcentral